GGAACUUCUGAGGCAGUUCUGCAAGUUUUGUUUUCUGGUCCUCGCAUUUUAAGUUCUGAUCCAUGUGCUAACAAUUUAGAUUUCAGAUUUGUUUCCAAAUUCCACAUUAAAUGUGUAAAGAAAAGGGCCUUAAGGGAUAAGCAAAUGUUCAACUGUACUAGUUUUCUGCAGAAUCACAUAAGAGUCCAUCGGUUUAAGACGACAGCUGACUAUGGUUUGUUUGGGAAUACAACAGUUGACAGAUUGCAGCUGCUGAGUUGUAAAUGCCAGCAGGCAGAAAAUGUUAGCGGUUUAACUGCAGAAGAUGGAAAU
This 312-nucleotide unclassified non-coding RNA is filed under the name Hevea brasiliensis (rubber tree). Lineage: Eukaryota; Viridiplantae; Streptophyta; Magnoliopsida; Malpighiales; Euphorbiaceae. The record is from RNAcentral.